GACGAACGCUGGCGGCGUGCUUAACACAUGCAAGUCGAACGGAAAGGCCCUGCUUUUGUGGGGUUCUCGAGUGGCGAACGGGUGAGUAACACGUGAGUAACCUGCCCUUGACUUUGGGAUAACUUCAGGAAACUGGGGCUACUACCGGAUAGGAGCUCCUGCUGCAUGGUGGGGGUUGGAAAGUUUCGGCGGUCGGGGAUGGACUCGCGGCUUAUCAGCUUGUUGGUGGGGUAGUGGCUUACCAAGGCUUUGACGGGUAGCCGGCCUGAGAGGGUGACCGGGCACAUGGCGACUGAGAUACGGACCAGUCUCCUACGGGAGGCAGCAGUGGGGAAUAUGGCACAAUGGGCGGAAGCCUGAUGCAGCAACGCCGCGUGCGGGAUGACGGCCUUCGGGUUGUAAACCGCUUUCGCCUGUGACGAAGCGUGAGUGACGGUAAUGGGUAAAGAAGCACCGGCUAACUACGUG
This 468-nucleotide ribosomal RNA is filed under the name uncultured bacterium. RNAcentral describes it as "partial 16S ribosomal RNA". It matches the Rfam family "Bacterial small subunit ribosomal RNA", at positions 28 to 507 of the family's 1533-position model. The record is from RNAcentral.